AUGAACGCUGGCGGCGUGCCUAAUACAUGCCAGUCGAGCGAACGGACGAGAAGCUUGCUUUUCUGAUGUUAGCGGCGGACGGGUGAGUAACACGUGGAUAACCUACCUAUAAGACUGGGAUAACUUCGGGAAACCGGAGCUAAUACCGGAUAAUAUUUUGAACCGCAUGGUUCAAAAGUGAAAGACGGUCUUGCUGUUACUUAUAGAUGGAUCCGCGCUGCAUUAGCUAGUUGGUAAGGUAACGGCUUACCAAGGCAACGAUGCAUAGCCGACCUGAGAGGGUGAUCGGCCACACUGGAACUGAGACACGGUCCAGACUCCUACGGGAGGCAGCAGUAGGGAAUCUUCCGCAAUGGGCGAAAGCCUGACGGAGCAACGCCGCGUGAGUGAUGAAGGUCUUCGGAUCGUAAAACUCUGUUAUUAGGGAAGAACAUAUGUGUAAGUAACUGUGCACAUCUUGACGGUACCUAAUCAGAAAGCCACGGCUAACUACGUG
Molecule: ribosomal RNA, 496 nt
Filed under: uncultured bacterium
Lineage: Bacteria
Description: partial 16S ribosomal RNA
Rfam family: Bacterial small subunit ribosomal RNA
Source: RNAcentral